RNAcentral lists this ribosomal RNA (601 nucleotides) under Fomitiporia sp. ap165. RNAcentral describes it as "eukaryotic LSU rRNA". The stretch from base 254 to 407 matches the Rfam family "5.8S ribosomal RNA". The record is from RNAcentral. Lineage: Eukaryota; Fungi; Basidiomycota; Agaricomycetes; Hymenochaetales; Hymenochaetaceae.
AUGUGCUCGCCUUCACACUCUUCAUCCACUCAACCCCUGUGCACUUUAUCAGAGUUAGUAAUAGUAUUGUGGUGGCGGCCAUUUGUUGUUAUUCAUUGUUAGAAGCGGGGGUAACCCUGUCUGGCAAUAGUAAUGAUAAUAAUCUUGGUUCUACUACUACUACUACUAUGAACACUUUGACUUUUAUUUAUACAAACACUUUGCUUGUUCUUGUGAAUGUGUAAUGCUCCUUGUGAGCGAAAUACAAAUAUACAACUUUCAACAACGGAUCUCUUGGCUCUCGCAUCGAUGAAGAACGCAGCGAAAUGCGAUAAGUAAUGUGAAUUGCAGAAUUCAGUGAAUCAUCGAAUCUUUGAACGCACCUUGCGCCCCUUGGUAUUCCGAGGGGCAUGCCUGUUUGAGUGUCAUGUAAUUCUCAAUCCUCUUCUUCUUAACUGAAGAAAAGAGGCUUGGACUUGGAGGUAUACACAAGCUGGUACUGUUUAGUAUCGGCUCCUCUCAAAUACAUUAGCUGGACUGUAGUUCGCAUUGUUUGGUGUAAUAGUUCUAUCUUAUUUCACUACAGUGCUUACUUAGACGGGUCUGCUUCCAAUAGUCCGCC